RNAcentral lists this RNase P RNA (372 nucleotides) under Mycoplasmataceae bacterium. Its description in RNAcentral is "RNase P RNA component class B". It matches the Rfam family "Bacterial RNase P class B". From Rfam's summary of the family: Ribonuclease P (RNase P) is a ubiquitous endoribonuclease, found in archaea, bacteria and eukarya as well as chloroplasts and mitochondria. The record is from RNAcentral. Lineage: Bacteria; Bacillati; Mycoplasmatota; Mollicutes; Mycoplasmatales; Mycoplasmataceae.
GUAAGUAAUCAAUCGCAGUUUAGAUUCUAAAUUGAGGAAGUUCCGUGCUUGCACAAACUGUGAUGUUUGUAGUGUUUUUGCUAGAACAAUAAACGAAGCUAGGCAUUUUUACUUAAUGACGGCCUUUGAAUAACCUAAAGGAUUUCAUCCCAUGGUUAGGAUGGAUAAAGUGCCACAGAGACGAGUUGAUAAGAAAUUAUCAAGUGAAACGCGGUAAACCCCAAAAGCAAGAAACCUAAAUUAUGGUAAGGGAGCGAGUUAUUAACGAAAACGAAGUUAAUACUUGAUGUUUUAAUAAAACAUAGAUAAAUGAUUGAUAAUUAAAUAUUUUUUACUAUAUAGUAAUAUUUAAUACAGAACACGGGCUAUGCU